UAGCUCAGCGGUUGAGAGCACUGGCUGCUCUUUCAGAAGACCUGGGUUCAAUUCCCAG
Molecule: transfer RNA, 58 nt
Filed under: Cricetulus griseus (Chinese hamster)
Lineage: Eukaryota; Metazoa; Chordata; Mammalia; Rodentia; Cricetidae
Source: Rfam by way of RNAcentral